Molecule: non-coding RNA, 459 nt
Organism: Megalopta genalis
Lineage: Eukaryota; Metazoa; Arthropoda; Insecta; Hymenoptera; Halictidae
Source: RefSeq, a predicted model, not a curated record
ACGUAGAUUGUAUGUAGUUUCAAGUUCCAAGUUCCAACGGCAAUUGAACGGCUCCAUUGGCAACUGCGAGCCGCUUCACUAGCCUAACUUCAACUAUACACCGGUACAUCCUGACGUUCCUGACUCCGGCUCCGACUUCUGACCCUGCUUCAAACUGCUCCUCGAUCCUGAAUUGCAUGGAAUAUGGCAUGGCUUGAGGCUGCAAUUUGCUAAGCAGUCGAGUAUGGAGACCGGAAUUGCUGUAAAAAAAUGAAAUAUUUCUGAAUUGAUGCGUAUGUAAGCAUAAUAAAUCGUAAGAAGGAAAGCGUUAACUUUGUUGUCGAGUUGGUGAGUUGAUAAAGAAGGGUUAGUUGAAGAGCUGUGAUUUUGUCGCAGAGCGACGAGCUUGUCAAUUCGAAGAAAUAGUGAAAAAUGCCGAGGAAAAAAGCAUACAGCGGCAAAGCAAAAAGGCUGCAAUUA